CACGUAGGAGGCGAGCGUUAUCCGGAUUUACUGGGCGUAAAGCGCGUGCAGGCGGUUUGGUUAGUUGGAUGUGAAAGCUCCUGGCUUAACUGGGAGAGGUCGUUCAAUACUGCCAGACUAGAGGAUGGGAGAGGGAGGUGGAAUUCCGGGUGUAGUGGUGAAAUGCGUAGAUAUCCGGAGGAACACCAGUGGCGAAAGCGGCCUCCUGGCCCAUUUCUGACGCUCAGACGCGAAAGCUAGGGUAGCAAACGGG
Molecule: ribosomal RNA, 253 nt
Filed under: uncultured bacterium
Lineage: Bacteria
Description: partial 16S ribosomal RNA
Rfam family: Bacterial small subunit ribosomal RNA
Source: RNAcentral